GUGAGGGUGACCGAGCGUGGGGGAAGCGUGAGCGAAACCGUGAGCCGAUGUACAAGAACCGGAUAGAAGGCGGUGCCGAUCAGGGCAAGCGGGCGUGUAACCG
Non-coding RNA from Candidatus Burkholderia crenata, 103 nucleotides. Lineage: Bacteria; Pseudomonadati; Pseudomonadota; Betaproteobacteria; Burkholderiales; Burkholderiaceae. The record is from Rfam.